Molecule: non-coding RNA, 927 nt
Filed under: Allobates undulatus
Lineage: Eukaryota; Metazoa; Chordata; Amphibia; Anura; Aromobatidae
Description: 12S ribosomal RNA
Rfam family: Bacterial small subunit ribosomal RNA
Source: RNAcentral
AAAGGUUUGGUCCUAGCCUUAAAGUCAGUUUUUAUUUAAUAUACACAUGCAAGUCUCCGCACCCCUGUGAAAACGCCCUUUAACCCCUAAUGGGGUCAGGAGCUGGUAUCAGGCACAACCUCUGCCCAAGACACCUAGCCUCGCCACACCCACAAGGGACCUCAGCAGUGAUUAACAUUGAUUAUAAGCGACAGCUUGAUUCAGUUAAACUAUUUAGAGCCGGCCAAUCUGGUGCCAGCCGCCGCGGUUACACCAGAAGCUCAAAUUGACCUUCAUCGGCGUAAAGCGUGAUUAAAGCUAUUUACCAAUGGAAUUAAACUUAAACUGAGCCGUGACACGCCUGCUAUUUAGAAACCCAAAAACGAAAGUUAUUCCAACUAAUCCUACUUGAACUCACGACAACUGAGACACAAACUGGGAUUAGAUACCCCACUAUGCUCAGUCGUAAACUUUAAAUUACAUCCUCACUCGCCCGGGAACUACGAGCCAAGCUUAAAACCCAAAGGACUUGACGGUACCCCAUUUCCACCUAGAGGAGCCUGUCCUAUAAUCGAUACCCCACGUUUAACCUCACCAUUUUUAGCUUAUUCAGCCUGUAUACCUCCGUCGUCAGCUUACCACGUGAGCGUCAGUGAGCCUAAUGUUUUUUCAACAAUACGUCAGGUCAAGGUGCAACUUAUAUAAUGGAAAGAGAUGGGCUACAUUUUCUAUCAUAGAAAACACGAAAGACUACUUAUGAAAACCAGUCGGAAGGCGGAUUUAGCAGUAAACAGAAACUAGUAUAUUCUUUUUAACCCGGCACUGGGGUGUGUACACACCGCCCGUCACCCUCCUCUAACGCUAAAAACAGUUUUUAACCAAAUUCAGCCACCCAGAAGAGGUAAGUCGUAACAUGGUAAGUAUACCGGAAGGUGUGCUUGGAAUCAG